This 2507-nucleotide long non-coding RNA is filed under the name Theobroma cacao (cacao). RNAcentral's name for it is "long non-coding RNA (TCAC_LNC005936)". Lineage: Eukaryota; Viridiplantae; Streptophyta; Magnoliopsida; Malvales; Malvaceae. The record is from RNAcentral.
UUAUUAAUUUUAUAUUGUACUUCUCGUAUUUAGAUUAAUUGCAUUGUAUAACAUACUAAAUUGCAUUGUAUAUUAUGUACAAUUUAUGAAAUGUUUAUUCCCUUAUCUUUUCCAUUUUAUUUAAUAUUUUUGUCAGUCAAUUUAAUAUAUUUUAUGUCACGAUUCAAUACUCCCCUUGAGUCAUUCACAACCGCCGCGACGUCCCGAUUGACAUUCUUCGCCCGGAAUGCCAACUUGAAUCUCGCAAGGCUUUAAUAUCAGUUUUCGCACCUCCCCUGUGAGCAACAGUUGUUAAGUAUCAUGUUUUGAGAGAUUAUAAACUAUUUUCAAAUCAAAACAAUAGAAAAAUAAUUUUUUUCUCACAGGGGCAUUUUGGUCAAUUUUCCUCAAAAAUCUCGAAACCAGCUAAAAAUGUAGUAUGCAAGUGGAAAACACAUAUUUCAUAAUAAAAAAUAAGUUUAGAUGUCUAAAACAUUCAUUUGAAAUGAAAUUAUGACUAUUUGAAUAUAAUAAAAAUAUUCUAUAAAAUAUUCUAUUUUCUUAUAAAACAAUAUUUAUAGAGUUACCGGUAAAUAAUUUUUGUGGCAUAAAAGCUAAAUAAAUUCAUACAUACUGUAAUACAGAUAACCAAAGUAUAAAAUUUAAUUUACAGUGACACGUGGCCCCACGAAUGACCAAAAGUAUCAAAAGAGUUAAACCUACAGUUUUUGAGGAUGCAAGUCCAAUUGUAGCCCUCAAUGAAAUGAGCUAUCUACCGACUAUCCUAAGCCUGAAAAGGGUGGAAAGGAGGGUGGUAAGAUUACAUAAUCCUAGUGAGUAAACAAAUACUAUCUAAAAUAUCUGAAGCUGAGUAAAUGGAGACAGAUAAAAUAGUUUAACAUACUGUAAUUCAUCAUCUUUCAACUCAUUUCAACCAAAUAAAAUCAAUUCAUAUAAAUUGAGUAAUCAACAUGGCUUAUAAAUUUCUUAAAACUUUGGCUCGUGCCAAAAUCAUUCUCAUACUCAGUUAUUAGGGAUACCUUGGCCAAUGGUUAUCCCAACCAAGACCGCCAAGGCUAUUAAAAAGUUAUGUACGCAUAAAUCAUGUUUUUUAUUUUGAAAACAUAGCCGUUUCUUGACGUUGGCUGAGUUCACCCUCACGUGAUAGUUUAGCGUGAAGUUAACUCUAAAGUUUUAACCUCAGGAGUUAUCCAACCACGCCUCUCAUAUUGAGGUAUGAAUAUAAUAGGGUUAUUGUGCCCCUCUAAUAGGUUGGUCCACGGAACCCGUCCACUGCAGCGACCAAUUUAUAAUCCACCAAUUCAAUAAAAUUCAACAGCAUGACAUGACAAUUAUUUUAUUUUACAACCUCUCAAGGCAAAUUAACAGUUCAUACAUUUUCAACACCAAUUCAGCCAUUCCUGCAAAUAUUAUCAUAAGCCAUUCAAUUCAAAUCAUGAUUUAUAACACAGCGAUUAGUCUCCAAUUACUUUAUUUUCAAAACCAUCAUUCAAUUUCAAAACAAUUUUAUAAAAUCAUUUCAUUUAAAUCACAUUUUAGUUACAAAACACAAAGAUUUACCAUUUAACUCAUUUUCCAUAAAAUCACAAAAUCGGAUAAAAACCACUUUAGAUAAUUAAGAUGAUAGUAAGGUUACUCACUAUUUCAGGAGUCUAAUUUCGAGUACUCCAAUUCUUGAUCCUUGGGAACUAUCUCUUUACUUUUGCCAGAAAGCUCACCACCUAGACAUAAUGCAUAAUAAGCCAUUUGCUACAUUUGUGCUAAACCGUUGUAAAACCAAUUCGGGCUUAUACUAAUGUAUGAAAUGGGAUGUGAAAUACUCGGGUAACUAUCUAAAUACGGUGUUCAAUAUAAAUUCAAUUAUGUACCUAAAUAAAAUGGUAUUGGCCUAAUUCGAUCUAUCACCUGAUUAAUUGGCCAAUACGUCGAAUUUAACUUCAAUUAACUCCAUUUUUCUUCCAAUUCUCCAAACCAUCAAACACAAGUCAAAUAACAUAAAAUUUAGCAAAAUCAUCCUCACAUUUCUUCUUGAGAAUCUCUGCCAUGGUGAGUGCAUCAACACUAUGAUUUUUCCUACUUGAUUUUCUCACCAUAAUUCAUCAUUUCCUAACCAAUUCACUUGAAAUAAAAUCAAAUCCACCAUCAACACUCUACAAGGAAGAUUCGGCUAAUGAUGAACUCAUGAGAAAUAUGUGAAUUUCAAGCUUAAUUCUUACACUUAACACCAUAAACAACUAAAAACAUCCAUAUUUCUUAAAAAUCUAUCUAAAUCAUCAUCAAAUUCUCCCUCCUAGGGUUUGAUCAGCACACUAUCCUUCAUGAUAUCUUGUGAUUCAACCAUAGAAAAUAAGAAAAAAAUGCUUAAGAAAGAUAGAUCACAAGCUUAAUUGAAAAAUCUUAUCUUUUUUUUUUUUCACUUCUCAUUGAAUUUUCACACUUUUCCCUUGAAUUUUUCCACCUAGGGUUUUGUUCUUCCUUUUCUUCCUUUGUUCUUGCUUUGACCGGCC